AACAGGAUUAGAUACCCUGGUAGUCCACGCCGUAAACGAUGUCGACUUGGAGGUUGUGCCCUUGAGGCGUGGCUUCCGGAGCUAACGCGUUAAGUCGACCGCCUGGGGAGUACGGCCGCAAGGUUAAAACUCAAAUGAAUUGACGGGGGCCCGCACAAGCGGUGGAGCAUGUGGUUCAAUUCGAUGCAACGCGAAGAACCUUACCUACUCUUGACAUCCAGAGAACUUAGCAGAGAUGCUUCGGUGCCUUCGGGAACUCUGAGACAGGUGCUGCAUGGCUGUCGUCAGCUCGUGUUGUGAAAUGUUGGGUUAAGUCCCGCAACGAGCGCAACCCUUAUCCUUUGUUGCCAGCGGUUAGGCCGGGAACUCAAAGGAGACUGCCAGUGAUAAACUGGAGGAAGGUGGGGAUGACGUCAAGUCAUCAUGGCCCUUACGAGUAGGGCUACACACGUGCUACAAUGGCAUACACAAAGAGAAGCGACCUCGCGAGAGCAAGCGGACCUCAUAAAGUAUGUCGUAGUCCGGAUUGGAGUCUGCAACUCGACUCCAUGAAGUCGGAAUCGCUAGUAAUCGUGGAUCAGAAUGCCACGGUGAAUACGUUCCCGGGCCUUGUACACACCGCCCGUCACACCAUGGGAGUGGGUUGCAAAAGAAGUAGGUAGCUUAACCUUCGGGAGGGCGCUUACCACUUUGUGAUUCAUGACUGGGGUGAAGUCGUAACAAGGUAACC
RNAcentral lists this ribosomal RNA (730 nucleotides) under uncultured bacterium. Its description in RNAcentral is "bacterial SSU rRNA". It matches the Rfam family "Bacterial small subunit ribosomal RNA", at positions 771 to 1501 of the family's 1533-position model. The record is from RNAcentral.